This 38727-nucleotide long non-coding RNA is filed under the name Zea mays. RNAcentral describes it as "long non-coding RNA (ZMAY_LNC000454)". Lineage: Eukaryota; Viridiplantae; Streptophyta; Magnoliopsida; Poales; Poaceae. The record is from RNAcentral.
GACUACAGAAACAAUGGCAAUUAUACAUGAAUACGAUUCACAGUGUUGUUCUUUGCAGCCUCGGUUGAACAGACGCCUUUUCACAGGUGUCGGGGACCAUAAUUAGGGGUACCCUCAAGGCUCCUAAUUCUCAGCUGGUAACCCCCAUCAGCAUAAAGCUGCAAAGGCCUGAUGGGUGCGAUUAAGUCAGGGAUCAGUCCAUCCGAGGGACUCGAUCAUGCCUCGCCCGAGCCUAGCCUCGGACAAGGGCAGCCGACCCCGAAGGACCUCCAUCUCGCCCGAGGCCCCCCUUCAGCGGUGAACAUAUUUCCGGCUCGCCCGAGGCCCUGUCUUCGCCAAGAAGCAACCCUGACCAAAUCGCCGCACCGACCGACCAAAUCGCAGGAGCAUUUAAUGCAAAGGCGACCUGACACCUUUAUCCUGACGCGCGCCCCUCAGCCGAUAGAGCCGAAGUGACCGCCGUCACUUCGCCGCUCCACUGACCGGUCUGACAGAAAGACAGCGCCGCCUGCGCCGCUCCGACUGCGGUGCCACUUGACAGAGUGAGGCUGACAGGCAGUCAGGCCCGGCUGCAGGCACCAUAGGAAGCUCCGCUCCACCCGACCCAAGGCUCGGACUCGGGCUAAGUCCCAGAAGACGGCGAACUCCGCUCCGCCCGACCCAGGGCUCGGACUCAGGCUAAGCCCCGGAAGACGGCGAACUCCGCUCCGCCCGACCCAGGGCUCGGACUCGGGCUAAGCCCCGGAAGACGGCGAACUCCGCUUCGCCCGACCCAAGGCUCGGACUUGGGCUAAGCCCCGGAAGACGGUGAACUCCGCUCCGCCCGACCCAGGGCUCGGACUCGGGCUAAGCCCCAGAAGACGGCGAACUCCGCUCCGCCCGACCCAGGGCUCGGACUCGGGCUAAGUCCCGGAAGACGACGAACUCCGCUCCGCCCGACCCCCGGGGCUCGGACUCCGCCCCGGCCUCAGCCGUCGGUCACCGCCUCGCCCGACCCAGGGGCUCGGACUCGACCUCGGCCACGGAAGACAGACUCGACCUCGGCUUCGGAGGAGCUUACACAUCACCCAACCUAGGGCGCAGACCAGCCACGUCAACAGGAGGCGCCAUCAUCACCCUACCCCGCGCUGACUCGGGCCACGGGUAGGGGUGGUAAUGGAUUGUGAUCCAAAUAGUUCUUCACAAAAUAUCAAGGCCCUAAAUAAAUUAUAGCUCAAAAAUGACUAGAAAUAAAGCCCGAUCCUAACCCGCUUCGAUCCUUAAAUCUUAUAGUGCAAAAUUUAUAGCCCAUUGUCAGCCCUAGCCACGGGAUCAAGACCGGCGUCCCAUCUGGCUCGCUCCGCCAAAUAGGCAAUGAUGGCGCCCCGCAUACUCUGUGACGACGGCAGCUCUCAGCGCCCUUACGGAAGCAAGAGGACGUCAACAAAGACUCAACAGCUCCGAUAGCUGUCCCUCCGCCAGGCUCCGGCACUCCUCCGACGGCCACGACAUCACACCAGCUGGGUGCCAAAAUCUCUCCGGCUGCCACAACGGCAUGUACUUAGGGCGCUAGCUCUCCUCCGCUAGACACGUAGCACUCUGCUACACCCCCCAUUGUACACCUGGAUCCUCUCCUUACGCCUAUAAAAGGAAGGACCAGGGCCCUCUUAGAGAAGGUUGGCCGCGCGGGGACGAGGGCGAGACAGGCGCUCGCUUGAAGCCGCUCGCUCCCUCUCCCGCGUGGACGCUUGUAACCCCCUACUGCAAGCGCACCCGACCUGGGCGCGGGACGAACAUGAAGGCCGCGGGAUUCCCACCUCUCUCACGCCGGUCUCCGGCCACCUCACUUCCCCCCUUCGCGCUCGGCCUCGCGUCGACCCAUCUGGGCUGGGGCACGCGGCGACAUUCACUCGUCGGCUUAGGGACCCCCCGGUCUUGAAACGCCGACAGUUGGCGCGCCAGGUAGGGGCCUGCUGCGUGUUGACGAACAGCUUCCCGUCAAGCUCCAGAUGGGCAGUCUCCAGCAACCUCUCCAACCCGGGACGGUGCUCCGUUUCGGGAGUCUUGAGUUCGUGUCCCUCGACGGCAGCUACAACAUGAUACUCCUUCCACCGCCGUGCGACAACGACAAUGGCGGCCGACAGCCCGCCCGCCGGCGGUGGAAUCGACGGCGUCUUCCCCGCGUGGUGGAAGAACAACAUUCGAGCUCACCCCGUCCUCUCCCCCGCCGACGGAGGAGGAGGCGGGGCAACCAAGGCCAAGCAGGAGGCAGCGCCUCGUCGGCUGUCGAGCGAGUCGACGGCGCUAGCACCCCAACGGGGGGCGCACCGGGCAUCGACCUCGCGCUUGAGACGAAGACGAGCGCCGUCUCCCCGCAACACGCCAAUCUCGAGCAAACGGACGGUGCCAGCAUGCUCGCGAAGGGCUUGCUGGACGUCACCCUUGUACCUGAGACGACGGUGCAGUCAGUCCCCGACGUGACCUCAUCGCCGCCCGUCGACCAAGAGGUACCGACCGAUUCCCAUCCCACGUCUUUCGGAUUCAGCCUCGACCCGCCUAGCGGCUUCGCUUUGGCGGGUGCUCUCGUAGAGGCGAGUCCAAACCCUCUGGGGUUUCGUAUGCGGUCACCUUGGGACCGGCUGAUGGACGUCUCGACCUAUGGGCCCUCUGGGUCCGAGGAAGACGACGAGCCCAGCAUCUGUUGGGAUUUCUCUGGACUUGGCAACCCCAGUGCCAUGCGGGACUUCAUGACCGCAUGUGACUACUGCCUUUCCGACUGUUCCGGCGGAAGCUGUAGCCUCGGCGAUGAGGACUGCGGCCCAAGCCGCGAAUGUUUCCACGUCGAUCUAGGGGGCCCCUCCGAAGGCAACCAUCUCGGCAUGCCGGAGGACGGUGAUCUCCCUAGGCUGGUGCCUCGCGUUGAUAUCCCACGGGAGUUAGCUGUGGUCCCCGUUCAGGCGGGGGGUCAUGACCCACAGCUCGAGCAAAUCCGCGGGGUGCAGGCCAGGCUCAACGAGGGAGCAGGAGCGCUUGAGCCAAUCCGCCGGGAUGUCGGGCAGGCAUGGGCGGGCCAACCUCCGGCCGGAGAAAUACGUCAUCUACCCUAGGGCUUCCAGCACCGCAUCGCUGACGACGUCAGGGUCAGGCUGCCACCCGCAUCCAGUGGGGUCGGCCAGAACCUGGCUGUAGCAGCAAUGCUCCUCCGCGCGAUGCCGGAGCCAUCAACCACCGAGGGGCGGCGAAUCCAGGGAGAGCUCAAGAAUCUCCUGGAAGGUGCCGCGGUCCGGCGGGCCGAGAGCUCCGCCUCCCGAAGGCAGGGGUACCCCUCGGAGCAUCAUGCCGCGACUUCCCGAUUCAUGCGGGAAGCCUCGGUCUACACCGGGCGCACGCGCAAGACCGCGCCUGCGGCCCCGGGUCGCCUCGGCAACGAGCACCAUCACCGCGACCGCCGAGCCCACCUCGACGAGAGGGUGCGCCGAGGCCACCACCCUAGGCGUGGGGGACGCUACGACAGCGGGGAGGAUCGGAGUCCCUCGCCCGAACCACCCGGUCCACAGGCCUUCAGCCGGGCCAUACGACGGGCGCCGUUCCUGACCCGGUUCCGACCCUCGACUACUAUCACGAAGUACUCGGGGGAGACGAGACCGGAACUGUGGCUCGCGGACUACCGCCUGGCCUGCCAACUGGGUGGAACGGACGACGACAACCUCAUCAUCCGCAACCUCCCCCUGUUCCUCUCCGACACCGCUCGCGCCUGGUUGGAGCACCUGCCUCCGGGGCAGAUCUCCAACUGGGACGACCUGGUCCAAGCUUUUGCCGGAAAUUUCCAGGGCACAUACGUGCGCCCUGGGAAUUCCUGGGACCUUCGAAGCUGCCGACAGCAGCCGGGAGAGUCUCUCCGAGACUACAUCCGGCGAUUCUCGAAGCAGCGCACCGAGCUGCCCAACAUCACCGACUCGGAUGUCAUCGGCGCGUUCCUCGCCGGCACCACUUGUCGCGACCUGGUGAGCAAGCUGGGUCGCAAGACCCCCACCAGAGCGAGCGAGCUGAUGGACAUCGCCACCAAGUUCGCCUCCUGCCAGGAGGCGAUCGAGGCUAUCUUCCGGAAGGACAAGCAGCCCCAGGGCCGCCCUUCGGAAGAUGCCCCCGAGGCGUCAACUCAGCGCAGCGCCAAGAAGAAGGGCAAGAAGAAGUCGCAAGCGAAACGCGACGCCGCCGACGCAGACCUUGUCGCCGCCGCCGAGUACAAGAACCCUCGGAAACCCCCCGGAGGUGCCAACCUCUUCGACAAGAUGCUCAAGGAGCCGUGCCCCUACCACCAGGGGCCCGUCAAGCACACCCUUGAGGAGUGCGUCAUGCUUCGGCGCCACUUCCACAGGGCCGGGCCACCCGCGGAGGGUGGCAGGGCCCACGACGACGACAAGAAGGAAGAUCACCAGGCAGGAGAGUUCCCCGAGGUCCACGACUGCUUCAUGAUCUAUGGUGGGCAAGCGACGAAUGCCUCGGCUCGGCACCGCAAGCAAGAGCGUCGGGAGGUCUGUUCGGUGAAGGUGGCGGCACCAGUCUACCUAGACUGGUCCGACAAGCCCAUCACCUUCGACCAAGCCGACCAUCCCGACCAUGUGCCGAGCCCGGGGAAAUACCCGCUCGUCGUCGACCCCGUCAUCGGCGACGUCAGGCUCACCAAGGUCCUCAUGGAUGGAGGCAGCAGCCUCAACAUCAUCUACGCCGAGACCCUCGGGCUCCUGCGUGUCGAUCUGUCCUCCGUCGGGGCAGGCGCUGUGCCCUUCCAUGGGAUCAUUCCCGGGAAGCGCGUCCAGCCCCUCGGACGGCUCGACCUUCCCGUCUGCUUCGGAACACCCUCCAACUUCCGAAGGGAGACCCUGACGUUCGAGGUGGUCGGGUUCUGAGGAACCUACCACGCGGUACUGGGAAGACCAUGCUACGCGAAGUUCAUGGCCGUCCCCAACUACACCUACCUAAAGCUCAAGAUGCCGGGCCCCAACGGGGUCAUCACCGUCGGCCCCACGUACAAACACGCGUUCGAAUGUAAUGUGGAGUGCGUGGAGUACGCCGAGGCCCUCGCCGAGUCCGAGGCCCUCAUCGCCGACCUGGAGAGCCUCUCUAAGGAGGUGCCAGACGUGAAGCGUCAUGCCGACAACUUUGAGCCAGCGGAGACGGUUAAGGCCAUCCCCCUCGACCCCAGCAGUGACGCCUCCAAGCAAGUCUGGAUCGGCUCCGAGCUCGAUCCCAAAUAGGAAGCAGUGCUCGUCGACUUUCUCCGCGCGAACGCCGACGUCUUCGCGUGGAGUCCCUCGGACAUGCCCGGCAUACCGAGGGAUGUCGCCGAGCACUCGCUGGACAUCCGAGCUGGAGCCCGACCCGUCAAGCAGCCUCUCCGCCGAUUCGACGAGGAGAAGCGCAGAGCCAUAGGCGAGGAGAUCCACAAGCUAAUGGCGGCAGGGUUCAUCAAAGAGGUAUUCCAUCCCGAAUGGCUUGCCAACCCUGUGCUUGUGAGAAAGAAAGGAGGGAAAUGGCGGAUGUGUGUAGACUACGCUAGGCUCAACAAAGCAUGUCCGAAGGUUCCCUACCCUCUGCCUCGCAUCGACCAAAUCGUGGGUCCCACUGCUGGGUACGAAACCCUGUCUUUCCUCGAUGCCUACUCAGGGUAUCACUAAAUCAGGAUGAAAGAGUCCGACCAGCUCACGACUUCUUUCAUCACACCCUUCGGCAUGAGCUGCUAUGUCACCAUGCCGUUCGGCUUGAGGAACGCGGGCGCGACGUACCAGCGGUGCAUGAACCAUGUGUUCGGCGAACACAUUGGCCGCACGGUCGAGGCCUAUGUCGAUGACAUCGUAGUCAAGACGAGGAAAAGCCUCCGAACUCCUUUCCGACCUUGAAGUGACAUUUCGAUGUCUCAAGGCGAAAGGAGUCAAGCUCAAUCCCGAGAAGCGUGUCUUCGGGGUGCCCCGAGGCAUGCUCCUGGGGUUCAUUUUCUCCAAGCGGGGCAUCGAAGCCAACCCGGAGAAGAUCGCAGCCAUCACGCAGCACCCCGAGCCCUUGUUGGAGACACCCGGGGGCUACACGCACCCCUGGGAAGAGCCGCUUGUCAUCGCCAAAGUUCUGAAGCCCUGGACGAACGAGCUGGCCGACAGUCAAGGCAAGGCCUACACCAACACUUCAAACGUCUAACAGCUACGUCGCUUCUACCCUUAAGAUGCUUUCAAGUUGUCCCCUGACCUUGCCCCCGCGCAAGUUUUAGUCGUCAAGGAAGGGUCAGCCUUGCCUCGGCAGAGCCCGACCCUCCCUCGGGGGCUAAAAAGGGGGAACCCCUCUGCGUCAAAAUUUUCAAUCGAAAAGGCUUUUGUGCUCCCCUGACUAUGUCGGAAGCAGGACCCCAAGGAGCGAACGCGGGUGCAUGUAAGUGGCAAGGCAGACUGAGCCGAGGGACUCCUACGCCUCCGGGUUACGGACACCUCACUCGUCACCCGCCACGAAAAGUGACCCCUACUUGGGGAAGCCACCCUGCUACUGACAGGCUGGGCCGGACACGCAAAAUGAAAGGGAAAGGAGUACAACUUCAUGCAACGGUAACAAAGUGUUCAGGCCUCAGCGGCCGCAGAAAGACACACGUGCAUCCAACAGAAACUGCUCCAACAGAGUUAGGCGUCGCCCCGGGAAGGAGCCGCGCCCUCGGCUUCGCCCCCGCCCUCGGCAAAGUCCAUCCCGGCUUCGGACGACGGCGCAGACAGGAGGAUCUCUGCCUCAAAGGUGGUCGCCAGCACUGCGCUCGGACCCGCGGCGGCCGCAUCGAGCCUCUGGAAUUCUGCCAGGGCGGCUUCAUCUUCGUCAGGAAGGCAAUACCCCUCGCUGACCCGCUCCAGGUCCACGACGUAGUGGGAAGCGAGCACGGCGAAGGCCCGCCUGACACCGUGGUGAAGCGCCUCGCGGAGUCUGCCGCACACAUGAUCGCCCAAGACCUGCAGGCGACUUUGAGGGGAACUUCCUGAGGGGACGUCGCCGGAGCCAAGGACCCGGCAAAAGUCCGAGACGGCCUCGGACAUGGCCGCAUGGUCGGCCUCCCUCUGUUCGGCCGCCCCGGCAAGCGCCUCGGCAACCGCCUUGGCGGACUCAUCAAGGGCGGACUCGAGCUCUGCGAACAACCAGAAGAAAGAUCUCAAACACAAGCGGAGGAAACAAGCAGAAACAAAAACCGAAAAUGGCCAAGGCGUACCUCCGGCUCGGGCACGCUGCUCCGAGGCUGCGACCUGGGCUACGGCUAGGUCGGCGGCAAGGGCUUCAGCCCGGCUUUCGGCCUCGGCAGCCCGACCCCGAGAUUGGUCCCGCUCAUUGACGAUCCGAUCGAACUCCGACUGCUGUCGUUGCGCUUCCGCGUGCGCCGCGGCCGCCUCCGCGCGUGCCGCUACCGCUUCGGCUCUCAGAUCGGUGCAGAGCAACCGAAGGUCCGCCGCCUCGGCACCCUGCUGAGAGAGGCGCGCAGUGGCCCCGGCGAGCGAAGUCCUCAGGGAUCGCAGCGAGCCCCAGACGUCGACCUCGCGGCGGUUGAACGACGACUUGGCGGCGCUCAGAUCCGUCAGAUCCUAAGGGAAGGAAGCGGGGCGUCACGAAAGACGCCUUGGUCACAAAAGAGAAAAGGUAUGCCUGAAACCGUUACCUAGAGGAUUUUGGGGACGUCCCUGCAGAAAACCUCCAACGACGACCAGAGCGACCCCACCGUUGCUUCGGCGCACUCGCGGAGCUCGUCCCAGGACCGGUCCUCCCGUUUAUCGUCGAGAAUGAAGACGGGAUCCGAGGCCUCACGGGUCUAGAAUCGGAGCAACUGGCGCCGACCCUCGGAGCUCUGCCGCACAGCGACAAGGCUGCCGCCCGGCGGGGCAGAUCGCGUCUCCACGCCCCCCUCCUUCGGAGCACCAAGCGUCGACGCCUCGGCCGACUCAGCGUCGGCAGCGACCGGUCGCUCCCCGACUGGGACGACGACGGAUUUAGUGGCGACGGGUGCCAGCACCGCCGGCACGUCCGGUGGGGCCGGGGCCACGUCCGCGUCAGCCGCCUCCUCUAGCACGAUGGCCGCCUCGGCAGAAGAGCCGGCCUCGGGAACUCGCUCCACGGCGACUGGUGCCGCCUGAGCCCCCUGCUGUGGAGCACCUUGCGAAAAGGUCAGCUGAACAGCAAGGCCCGAAGCGGCGCCAGCCGUGCAAGCCGACGCGGUCUUAAGGGCCUUUCGGGGAACCAGGUCGGUCAGGCCAUGGCUUCGCUUGCUGAGGGGAAAAGAAAAAUCACGGCCGGGACAUACGAAUGAAAAGCCAGGACGAAGACGUUCCAAGAUACUUACCCGCUCCUAGCCAUGAUCAACCGUGCCUGGGGGAGGUCUCUCGGAUCUCGACCCCCGAAGGCGCCGCCGAGGUCCGCUUCGUCGGCAGCUUCGGCACCACCCUUGCCUUGGGCGCUCUGAGUGCCCGGGGGACGGAUUGCCCAGGCACUGCCACGUCGACCUGAGGGUCGCUCUCCUGCGCUGCCGGCGUGGGCGACAGCUCUUGGGGAGUAGGCGCCUCGGCCUGGCUCCCCGGGGUCGCCUCAACUCCCCCAGCCGAGGGGUCAGGUACCCUCUCGGAUUGCCCCCGCUCCUCGGGUCGGGACCCCAGUGUCCCGACUCCGGGGACUAACGGCAUCAGCCCGCUCGGGGGCUGGCUUGACGGCUCCUGGCCUAACCUCAAGCUAGGGCUGAGGCCAAGGCGGGCAACCAUGUCGUCUUCCUCGUCAUCAUCUUCAUCAUCGUCGUCGUCAUCAGGCGUUUCCGGCGACGGCUCCCUCGGGAGCCCCUCCCUCUCCUGCCGACGACGAAGCUUUUCCAAGGCGUCUCGAGCCCGCAUCCGCUCGCGGGCCCGGGCCUUCUCCACGUCUUUCUUUUUCUUCUUCUCCUCCGCGGCAACACGCCGCGCUGCUCGGUCCACCGCAUCCUGCGGGACCCGUGGCAGGGAAGGCUUGUGCCACCCCACCUCCUGAAGACGGAGGGAAAUCCCGACCGUAAGAACCAGGAGCAACCCGAUGCAAGAAGAAGGAAGGAGCGGACACUCACCAGAGUCACGCACCCUUGGUCAGGGCGCAUCAAGGGCUAGGAGAAGGCACCGGGGUCCGGUUUCCCCAACGCGACGGCCACCCGCCCAUAGAGGACGUCGAAGGGAAGAGGAUCCGAGGACAUCCGCGAGCCCUCCAAGUCGGCCUCCGGUGUCAUCUCCCAAAGCGGCAGCCGACGCUCCGCCAAGGGAAGCACCCUCCGGCGGUGGAUGGCGGCAAUCACUCCCGCGGCGGUGAGUCCCCCUUUCCGCAACGCCUCCAAGGCCUUGAGAAGGGGUUCGAGGUUCUUCUGUCUCUCGUGCGGGGUCCCGUGGCGCCAAGCGUCGGCGACGAUGGUGACUACUCGCUGGGAGAACGGCGGAAGCAACUCGCCGUCAUUCCGGAGGUAGAACCACCGGCGCUGCCACCCUUUGUUCGAGGAUGCAAGGAUGGCGGGGAUAUACAGCGACGCCCGCGACUGCCUCAACUGAAGGAUGCAGCCGCCGGCCCGCACUGCCGUGUGGACCUUUCUCUCCCCCGUCGGCGAAGCGAAAAGCUCCGCGAAAAAGAGAUGAGUCCACAAGUCCCAGUGGGGGGCGAUCCCCAAGUACCCCUCACACACCGAUACGAAGAUGGCGGCCUGCGAGAUGGAGUUGGGGCUGAGGUUGUGCAACUCCACCCCGUAGUGGUGCAGAAUCGCCCGCAUAAAGCGGCUCGCCAGCACACCAAAUCCCCGCUCGUGGAAGGAGACGAAGCUUACGACGUACCCCGGCGGUGGGGACGGAGCGGCUCCGCCCACGGGAGGGAUCCACUCCGGCCGCGUCUCAUCAGAGAGAGGGCGAAGUAAACCCUCAGCAACAAGAUCCUCUAGAUCGCCCGCCGUCACUGUGGAGGAAGGCCAUGGGUCGCGCGGCGAGACGAUGGUCACCCGGUCAGCCAUCACCGAGCAGGAAGGGUGGCGGCGCAAAGGACAGGGUGGGCGGUUUCCUUUUCUCUGGCUAAAUCUCUCGGGUUGCGAAAACCUAAGAGGGAGGCAGGAAGCGGAGCAAAGAACCAUCGCCAGACCCUCUUCCAAGUAUAUAAAGAUCAAGGCGAGACCGGUUCAACGUUCCGCCCGGACCGGCCGCGGAAUUCAAAAACAUGAAGCGAAACAGCCGUUCCUCGAACGGCUCGCGCACACGUAGGGGUGGUAACGGAUCACGAUCCAAAUACCUCUUCACAAAAAGUUAAGGCCCUUAAAUAAUAUUAGUUCAAAAAUGAAUAAGAAUAGGGCCCGAUCCUAAUCCGAUUCGAUCCUUAAAAUUUGCAGUGUAAAGUUUAUAGCCCAUUACCACCUCUACGCACACGCAACGGCCACCCCGCGAACCGCACGCCCCGUCGCAUUAACUCCGCGGCAGGAAAGGCGGCGCCUCUGGCAGGAGAAGGGAGCGACGCUUCGCCUUCACCAUAAUGAUCGCGUCAAAAAAGGUACGCCACGUCAUUCAACUUCGUAUCCUUUUCCUUUUUUCCUCUUUCUCUCUCUUGCAAUAGGGACCGGGAAAGGGGGAUACCCCGAAAAGGAUCCUUCCCCGUGAAGGAACCAGGCCCCGAGCCUCCCUACUGAUCAGAGGUUCGAAGGCCGGCCCCUCGGAAGGGUUCAACAGCCGCCUCAGAGCGCGUGGGUUCCACACCCACUACUGGUCAGAGGUUCGAAGGCCGGACCCUCAGAAGGGUUCAACGGCCGCCUCAGGCUACUCGGGCUCCGCGCCCACUACUGAUCAGGGGUUCGAAGGCUGGCCCCCGAAGGGUUCACAGCCGCCUCAGACACAGAGCGAGGGAUGACCAUGGGUACGUUCGAUACAUAACCAAGGCUCGGGCUGCGCUCCCGAGGUACCCUAGGACAUUUCCGAGACCAGCGGGAACGAUCUUGUAACAGAAUCCCAUCAGAGGGAGGCAUCGAGCCCUCGGACCCCGUCGCUAGGGGACCGGGUCCGGCAGAUCACCCGCAGGUACUUUUGGGCGCGCCUCUGGGCCUCUAGCCGACCCCUAACGAACGGGGCAUGGACGUCCACUCGGAUUACCCGUCUGCAGCUCACCGGGGACACCAUGUUUGGCGCCCGCUGAGGGCAACAUGGCGCUCUCCCCCCCUCCUCCUUGCGGAAAGGCGACGCAGGGGCGUAUGUAAAAAUGUCGAGUCUGACCCUGAUCGCCCUCUCGCCCUGUGCAGAGGCUCGGGGGCUGCUCUCGCAAACCCGGCUCCAGCCACACCGUUGACAGCAUCAACAUACCAGCCCGAGAACUUGGGACCCGACCGUACACCCGGGCUACGGCCAGCUCGCAUGAGGGAACGACCAGACCAGCCGAAGCAUUACGCGAGGCAUUAAGACCUCGGAGGAGUCAAACCACUCCUCCGAGGCCUCGGGGGCUACACCCGGCGGGUGCGCUCGCGCGCACCCACCGGAACAAAACGCAACCGAGAAAGGCUGGUCCCCCUUGCAAAAAAGUGCGACGAAAGCCUCCAAGCGAGUGCUAACACUCCCUUCGAGGCUCGGGGGCUACUGUCGGGGACCAUAAUUAGGGGUACCCUCAAGGCUCCUAAUUCUCAGCUGGUAACCCCCAUCAGCAUAAAGCUGCAAAGGCCUGAUGGGUGCGAUUAAGUCAGGGAUCAGUCCAUUCGAGGGACUCGAUCACGCCUCGCCCGAGCCAAGGGCAGCCGACCCCGAAGGACCUCCGUCUCGCCCGAGGCCCCCCUCCAGCGAUGAACAUAUUUCCAGCUCGCCUGAGGCCCUGUCUUCGCCAAGAAGCAACCCUGACCAAAUCGCCGCACCGACCGACCAAAUCGCAGGAGCAUUUAAUGCAAAGGCGACCUGACACCUUUAUCCUGACGCGCGCCCCUCAGCCGACAGAGCCGAAGUGACCGCCGUCACUUCGCCGCUCCACUAACCGGUCUGACAGAAAGACAGCGCCGCCUGCGUGUAACACCCCAGGUGUUACUCAGGGUGUCCACCCUAGGGUUACCCCCUUUUACCCAUUAUCACAUGAAGAUUGACUUGGGCAAAGUAUACCACACUUGGAAUUCUAGGUCCUAAGCAGGUGUAAUCCACUUUGGAUGUCAUGCCCUAGCUUAUCAUGCACAUCUAAGUGGGGAUCUCCCAAAACCCUAGAACAAAACCCCCAUAGGCAAUUAUAACCCUAAUUGAAGCCAUGAUCAAAAGAGCAUGUAAACAUCAUGAUCAUGGCUUGGACCAAAUAUAAAAGUUGUAAUACACUCAAUAACCUACCAUUAAUAGUAAGGAAGUACCCCCAAAAAGUUUUCAGAAAAGUCCUAAAAAGAUCACCAAAGGUUGAACACAAGGGAAAAAUGCAGAUUUUGCCUAAGUUAAAACCCAACCCUUGAGCAAAGAUCCCUCAUGUUCACCUUGAUCCCCUUUUCAAAACCAGUCGACCCAAUUAGCAAAGUGGCGCCAAAUGAACCCUAGAAUGCCCUGGAAAAGUUUGAACCCAAGCCAAAACCAUUUGACACGAGUUGGCACUGGUUUUGUCUCGGUUUGCACAGGGCAGACAGACAAGACUUGGCGCUACCGUAUCUCUUCAACCAGACCACAUCUACCCUUGGAACUUACAUGAACUAGGUAGCCCUAGGUGCAGGGAAGAAAUCUCCCACAGGCGGUAGGGCAAGAUUCGUACGCCUGGCCGCUCAGCAGAGUGAAGAACACGGGCAGAAGCAACGCGCCACGUGUUCGACGCGCUCUGAGCUCGCCAGAGCACGCCCGCGCGCGCGCCCCGCGUGCCCGCGUCGCGCCAAACGGUGGAGCCGGCGCCCCGUCCGCGUCCGCGCCUAUAAAACCUGCCCCAGCGCUCGGUUGCCUUCCCCGUUACCUCCUCCGUACUUCGCCGGACUCGCCCGAGCCAGCCAUUGCCUCCGGCAACCUCCCCGCGACCCGCCAGUGCCGACCAAGAGCCACCGCCGUGGCCAACCCCUCUCCAGUCCCCCUUCGUUCGAUUCAAGCCCCAGAUAGCUUCCUGGUGAGACCGUGAGCUUGGCUCAAGCUUGAACCGAGAGCCCGCGUCACCGGAGAAGCCGAAUCGCGCUCACCGGAGUUCAAGCACUCGCCGGCGCACGUGGACCGGGUAAACCCCUUCACCAUUUCUCGAUUCGUUGCGCGCACGGCCUCUGUGUCACCCCGUGAAGCGCCUCGUGCACCCUAAUUGACCUACGCCGCCGUGGUUUGGCCGGAGCAGGCGUCGCCGUCGAUCCCCGCCGCCUGUGUUCGUGGCCAGGGGAGCUCCGACCACCUCUGACGCCGACCCGCACAUCGACGUGACCGUCGCGACCUCCUGAACAUCACCGACCACCUCGCCGGACCUCCCUCGCCGCCGGUAAGCCGCGCCACCCUUUCCUUUCCUGCGGCUACUGUUUCAGUUAGGGGAGGGACUGCGGGUGUGAGGGAGAGAAAUCCAGGGGGUUAAGUGAAAAGUCAGAGACCCAAGUGAAUAGUAGCGUAAGGGUAGAUCUGCGAGGUUUGAUUCAGUUUAAACCCAGGGACCUCGGCGCAAACUGUUUUUCCAGAAAAACUUAAUUAAAACCUGAUUUAAAUUCAAACAGAAACUUUAAAAACCUAUAACUUCUGUUUGGUUUACCCAAAUUUGGUCAAACUAAUUUUGCCAGACUCUAAAUAAUGUAACCUGUCUAAGAAAAAUAUAAAACCACAUAAGUACUAUAGAAAAAUGUAAGGUCCUGAUUUAAUUACAGUUUGAACCAAAAGCUUAAUAAUAGCAAGAAAAAUGGUUGUAUUAUUUAACUAAGGUUAGAAAAAUUUAGAGAAGUUAUUAUCUACCUACUGACCUAGUUAAAAAUGUUAAACACCUCUGUCCACUACAUUAGGAUAUAUUUUACCCCUUAUCCCAUAAUGUGUUUAAGAUUAAGAAAAAUAGGAAAGGUGACAUAAAUAAGGAACGAGAGGGCACCCCUAUUUUUGUUGAGAUACUUAUUCAAUAUAGUUCACUGGAAAAAUAUAUCAUACCCUGGUUUAGUACAGAUUAAGUAGGAUAUCUUUUAUUUUAUUAAAACAAGGAUAACUUAGAAAAACCCUACAAAAAUGACCCCAAGGUAAAAACACCCCCACCCUUGGGAUAACUAUUGAUUUAUCAGAAAGAACUUAGGAAAAAUAAGAAAUCUGCUGUUUGAUAUUUUUCAAAUAAUAAUGUAGUAGAAAGUGCCUUUUUGACAUUAAACUUGAGAAAAUCAUAGCUAAUUAACCACCCCUUAGUUUCCUGUGAUUUUUAGCACAAAGACCUAUUAUUACCAGGGGAUGCCAACAAAUAUAACCUUUAGGACAGAGCCUACCCCUAACUAGGAGGUGUAGUGUAAAGUGCCCCUUUUUGCCUAACUUUUGUUAUUUUUGUUUAAGGCCUAACUUUUAUACCUUAAGCCUCAAAUUCUUAAAACAAGCUAAAAUAGCCAGUGACAACCCACUGUAAUUUUUACAGAAUUUUUGGAAAUUAUUAAAACCCUGUUGUAGUUCAAACCUACCCUAGAAAACCUAAAUGGAAAUUAAGGGAAGAGAAAUAAAAGAUAUGAAUAAAGGUUGUCCCUAAAAACUUUAUUUGCUGUCCACAAAAAUAUAUCAAAGCAAUACCAAACCAAUAUGUUGUCCUAAAUGAAAACCUAAGUCCAAAGAGUAAUAAGUCUAUCUAUGUACCACUAGAAGCCCCGCAUAACUAAGAAAACCCUAAGUUACUUCUUGACUUAGUCUCUUUUUGCAUAAUGUUAUUAAAUCAUGCAUAAUCAUGACAUACAUGUUCAUUGCAUUCGCUAGACUGUAAUCUUGCUGACGGAGAGUACAUCCUCGUGCCGGAGCAAGGAGCUGCUCAGGAGGUAGCCCCAGAUCCAGCACCAGAGCCAGCACCAGAGGACCUGCCUGCCACUGCUUUGGAAGGCAAGCCCCGGUUUUAUGCAUAACCUGUUAUUAUACUAUUUUACUUCACUUAAUGCUUGUAGGAUUGAUUGUGCACUUAAGUGUAGGAAUUGUUUGAAACCCUAGUUGCAUGAUCUCAGGAAUCCCAUUGAGAUGAAUACUAGUAUGAUAGGUCGAGUAGUUGCUUUAUUUAAAUAGGAUCUCGGUAGAAGACGAGUGAUUUUUCUAGCACUCGCGCGAGAUCAGGGAAUUGAUUGUACCCACUUUCACAUUAUCAUGAUACUGGUUGAUGGACAACAAUCCAUGGGGAUUGGUUGUCUAUGAGAUGAAAUUUGAAUAAGGAUUAAGGUGUGGUACCGUGUGUCAAGCGUUUGAACGUACUAAACACAUACCGAGAAAUAUGGUAAAUCGGUAAGCCUAGUACCUGAUUGAACCUGGCAGUAGACUUUGCCCCUCACGCGACCUGAGACGAGGUCUCCCAUUCCGGUUAUGGUGGGUACAAGUGCGGUCACUGCACGACGGCCAGUCGGGGUCAGUGAGGCAUUGUACGCCAAGGCGGUGAGCCCUGUUCUGCUGACGGGGAAUCGAUGGGGACGGUUGAUGUGUGUGGGGACGGAGUGCCCCUGCAUGUCGUGUGUUUAGGUUUACCUUGCAAGGAUAAAAACUCGAUUCGAAUCGUCUGCUUCUCGCAGUUAAUGAGACUGCUUGAUCCAUGCUGCUACAUUGAGUAAUAAGUGGAAGUAUGAUGAGUUGAGAUAAGAUGUUGAUUGUUAAUAAUGCUUGCUACCAUGUAUGAGUAGAUAGUUCACUUUUAGCCUUAAGAGAGUCACACUUAACUUUGACUAAGUUAAAAUCUUGAUUUAGAAACUCAGCUAGUGCUUUUGGCAACCAAACCCCACAGCCAAACAGCUGCAUGUCUAGAGGUAGAGGAGUAGACUCCUCACACCGGGUAAGUCUAGCUGAGUAUUAGUAUACUCAGCCUUGCUUGUGGCAUAAUUUUUACAGGUUCUCUGGAGGAGAUGGUUGCGGGGAUAACUUGGCCGACCACCCUGCCACCGGGUUGGACUGUCGAGUGGGACCCUGCCUCGGCUGAGGAGGAGCAUGAGGAGUGAUGGGACAUGCUUCCCCAUCUCUCUGUUUUAUUUACCGUUAGUUCUAUUCCGCUGCACUUCGAACAAUGAGGGAUACUUUUGCAGAAACUCCGAUGAUGAUGAUGGUGAUGUAAUAAUUCAACAUUAUGACAUGUAUGGUUUUAUGCUUUAUUGUAUUUGCUCUGUGACUCGCCUUCGAGUGAGAUUGUGGUACUUGAUCCUGUCAGUGGCCGUGUCGGACUAGAUCCGAGGGAUUGACGGGUUAUUCCCAUUUAAGUGUGGUCUAGCCUCUAAGGCGGGACUUGGACACUUAAGUUGGAAUAAUUCGGGCAGUUCCGCCACACUGCGCCGCUCCGACUGCGGUGCCACUUGACAGAGUGAGGCUGACAGGCAGUCAGGCCCGGCUGCAGGCACCAUAGGAAGCUCCGCUCCGCCCGACCCAGUACUCGGACUCGGGCUAAGUCCCAGAAGACGGCGAACUUGAGAGCACCUAGAGGGGGGGUGAAUAGGUGAUCCUGUAAAACUUUAAACUUAUAGCCACAAAAACUUGGUUAAUCGUUAGCACAAUAAUUGCCAAGUGGCUAGAGAGGAGCCAAAACACAAUAACCACAAGAAAUCAAUCACAGAGAUGACACGGUGGUUAUCCCGUGGUUCGGCCAAGUACAAAACUUGCCUACUCCACGUUGUGGCGUCCCAACGGACGAGAGUUGCACUCAACUCCUCUCAAGUGAUCCAAUGAUCAACUUGAAUACCACGGUGUUCUUCUUUACUUUGAUCUUUUCCCGUUUGCGAGGAAUCUCCACAACUUGGAGUCUCUCGCCCUUACAAUUGAAUUUCACAAAGAAGUAUGGAGUAAGGGAGGGAAGCAACACACACAAAUCCACAGCAAAAUGCGCACACACACGGCCAAGAAUCGAGCUCAAAAGACUAUCUCAAAGUUCUCACUAGAACGGAGCUCGAAUCACUGAGAAUGACAAACGAAUGCGCAAAGACUGAGUGUGGAUGAUCAAGAAUGCUCUUAGGUUGCUUGGUUAUCUCCGAGGGAUUGACGGGUUAUUCCCAUUUAAGUGUGGUCUAGCCUCUAAGACGGGACUUGGACACUUAAGUUGGAAUAAUUCGGGCAGUUCCGCCACAGCUGGUAUCGGAGCUUGUACCACCACAGAGGAAUCAAUAAAAUGUAAAUACCAUCAAUUUUUCUAAAUAAAAAUUGAUAGAAACAAGGUUGGAUAGAUAGUAGGACGAGCAGGAUAGACCUAGGACGUGAAGCCUUAGGUUACUAGAAGGGUAGCUAGGUGGCUAAGUAACUAGGCCCUACAGGCCACUUUUACAGGAUGGGAGUUCCUCCCUAUUCCUUUUAGCUUGUUGUGAGGUCGUUCAGGACGAGCAUGCAUGCAUUCAUAAUUAAGCAAAUGGAUAACUGAGUAAAAGACUUAAAAACAAGAUAACAACCAACUAGGUCCCUAGUGCCUUUUUACUUAACUAGAGGAGGGCUGAGUUUUAUUCUCCUUGUUCUUUUUACCAUUCUUUUUCUUUUACUUACGCUUAACCGUACACAGAUGACUUCCCACGGAUCCUCCGAUGACGGAAAUGCACUGACCCACACGGACGGACUUGCACGAGAGGGUUUUCCCCGCAUUUUGUGGGAAGUACUUCAGGGGGCUGGAUACACGACACCCCCUCAGUACGCGGUGCAGCAGUUCGAGAAGCACCGAGUGCCCCGCUGUAGGGUGAGGAUGACCUUGGAGCCUCAUCCCCUGCAGCCAGGCUGGCGCUCCUUGGACUCGGAGUCUUUCGGGUACCGGGCAGAGGACACGAUCGAGGCGAUCGCUCUGCAUGGAUUGACUACCUUCUGCGGGUUCCAUCCCUUGGAGCUGGCUACCCAUCCCAUUGGCUUGUUCCCCGCUGAAAAGGAGGACGACCCAAUGUGGAAGGAUCGGGUGGAGCAUGCCAAGGACAUCUGGGCCAUCUACCCAGGUCAGACUGCGCACUUGACAGUACGGUGCAUGAAUGCUCUGUACCGUCUGCAAGUGAUGCGCGGUGAGGCCAUGUCCCAUCUGAUGGCACUGCUGGAGGCAACAAAGAUCACGCUGGAUGACAGAGAGGAGCUCGUGGUGGACUUAUCUCAAGAAUUAGUGGAGAAAGACUUGCAGGUGGAGCAGCUAUCCACCGAUAUUCAAGAGUUGGAGGAGUUGGUGGGUACAAGGGAGAACACCAUUGAGGUUCUCGAGGAUCAGCUCCUUAACACUCAGCAACAGCUUGCUGAGGCUAACAAGCACCUGGACAUGCAUCACCAGGAGAUCCAGGACCAGGAGGACAACGAGGACGUCGACAUUGAGGGAGGAGAUGAGCCUGCCUCCAGUGUGGACACUGCUGGCUCGGGAAGACCACCUUCCCCCGAGUCCAGUGUUGCUUCGUUCGCUCACUAGGUGUCCAGGGUAGGCUUAGAAGUCGGACAGUCGGACUCCUUGCAGCUAGCUUAGCUUUUGCACCCUUGGGGUACUAGGCUAGAUAGAGUUGAGUCAUUUUGGAACAAUUUGAUGUAACCGUGUUAAACUAUCUUGGGAGCUUGUUUGAUGGAUGUUAUUGUCAGUUUAAAUUGGAAGGAAGAAUUUAUGCCUCUUAAAGAAUCCCUUUUGUUGAAGUCAGAUCUUUCAUGCUGUUUUUAACCAGUCCUCGUGAUAAAAAAAAAUCUUGAAUGAUUGGAAUUAUGGUGUUAAAUAAGUAUGUGGAUUUUUCAGAUGGCCGGGAGGCAGCGUCGUGGCCAGAACGAGCGCGUUCCUCCACCGCCACCACCACCUCCCACUCUGCAGGAGCUCAUGGCUCAGCAGAAUGAGAUCCUGAGGCAGCUGGCUCAACGUCAGCCACCACCCCAGCAUUAUGGUGGUGGAGACCACCAGCGUCACCCCGCGGCGGCCACCUAUCAGGAAUUCCUCAGCACCCAGCCUCCACUGUUCACAAGGGCGGAAGACCCACUUGACGCAGAUGUGUGGCUGCGAGUGGUGGAGUCCAAAUUUCCACUGCUCCAUGGAGUUUGCUCAGAGGUCACCAAAGUCAGGUUCGCCACCCAACAGCUUCGCGGACCUGCAAGGACUUGGUGGGAUCACUUUCUUGCUAUGCAGCCAGAGGACCGAGAGGUGGAGUGGAGGGAGUUUAAGGCAGCUUUUAGAGGACACCAUAUACCAGCCGGGAUCAUGGACAGGAAACUCAAUGAGUUCUUGGCACUCACUCAGGGCAACAGGACAGUGUUGCAGUAUGCCCAGGCCUUUAAUGACUUGUGCCAGUAUGCGGGAUAUCAUGCGGAUACAGAUGAGAAGAAGAGGGACAGAUUCAGAAGGGGGCUCAGCACUAAGCUCCGGGAUCGUCUCAACACCGUCAGGGCCAACAGCUACAAUGAGUUGGUCAACAUGGCUAUCUCCCAAGAGGACUGCAUUACAGCUAGGCAGGCAGAGAAGAAAAGGAAGACCCCUGUGGCAGGACCCUCAGCUCAGCCACAGCGUUUCCGGAUUGUGUCCGACACCCAGGGCAGGGGACCCCAGCAGCAGCAAGGGCGAUGGGUAAUUCGACCUCAGCAGCAGCAGCAGCAGGCACCCAACCGCAACUAGUUUCCAGCACAGCGGAAUAAUCAGCAGCAGCAGUACCGCCAGGCCAAUGACAACAGAUGUUUCACUUGUGGCAACACUGGGCAUUAUGCCAAGAAUUGCCCCAGGAACCAGCAGAGGCAGGGGCAGAAUGCUAACCAGAACCAAGGCAAGAGGCAGAAGGUGCAAGUGAGGCAAGGCAGGCUGAACUUCACCACCAUGGUUGAUAUCCCAGAGGGAGCACCCGUCUUGACUCGUAUCUUUACAGUUUUGAAUUAUCCUGCUAUUAUUCUUUUUGAUUCUGGUGCAUCACACAGUUUUAUCAGUACCAAAUUUAGUGCCAAGUGCCAAUUGCCUUUUCACCACACCAAUGGGGGUAUCACAAUCUCAACACCAGGGGGCAGGGUUGCCUCCUAUCAGAUCUGUAGGCACGUACCAAUUAAGCUGGGUAGUCUCAUUUUCAAAACUACCCUAAUGAUAAUGGGAUUGGAUAGUGUGGAUAUCAUCUUAGGGACUGAUUGGUUGUCACGACACCACGCAGUGAUUGAUGUCGCAGCUAGAGCCAUAGAACUCCGCUCCCCUGUUGAUGGUGAGAUUUCCUUAUAUCUACCCGACCAGGGAUGCACCCGUUCUUGUGCUUUUGCUAUGAUAGAAAUCCCCAGUGGAAAAGAUCCCAGUGGUCUGUGACUAUCCAGAUGUUUUUCCGGAUGAAUUGCCAGGAAUGCCGCCUGACCGAGACAUUGAGUUCGCAAUUGAGUUGCAACCCGGGACUGCUCCGAUCUCCAAGAGACCGUAUCGGAUGCCUCCCGCGGAAUUGGCAGAAUUGAAGAAGCAAUUGCAAGAGUUGUUGGACAAGGGGUUUAUUCGUCCCAGCACUUCACCAUGGGGAUGUCCAGCCUUAUUUGUGAAGAAAAAGGAUGAGAGUUUGAGGAUGUGCGUUGACUACCGUCCUCUCAAUGCGGUGACCAUAAAGAACAAAUACCCGUUGCCUCGCAUUGAUGUUCUGUUUGAUCAAUUGGUUGGAGCCAAGGUAUUCUCCAAGAUAGACCUUCGCUCAGGAUACCAUCAAAUAAAGAUCCGCGCUAGUGAUAUUCCCAAGACAGCUUUCUCUACAAGAUAUGGACUGUAUGAGUUUCUGGUGAUGUCUUUUGGGCUGACCAAUGCCCCGGCUUAUUUUAUGUACCUGAUGAAUUCAGUGUUUAUGCCGGAAUUGGAUAAGUUCGUGGUUGUCUUCAUUGAUGAUAUUCUGGUUUAUUCCAAAAAUAAAGACGAACAUGCUGAGCACCUGCACAUUGUGCUUCAACGAUUGCGCGAUCAUCAUCUUUAUGCUAAGUUGUCUAAGUGUGAGUUCUGGCUGAAGGAGAUCAAAUUCUUGGGUCAUACAAUUUCUCAGGAUGGGGUAUCAGUUGAUCCUGAGAAGGUGCAAGAAGUGAUGGAUUGGAAACCCCCGACCACAGUAAAGCAAAUUCGGAGUUUUCUGGGAUUGGCAGGGUAUUAUCGACGAUUUAUUCCGGAUUUCUCCAGAAUUGCCAAACCAAUGACUGAACUGUUAAAGAAGGGAGUCAAAUUUGAGUGGAGCCAGAAGUGUGAAGAUGCCUUUCAUACCUUGAGGCAGCAUUUGACAACAGCCCCAGUGCUAGCCCAACCUGACAACACCAAGCCAUUUGAAGUUUAUUGUGAUGCUUCUGGUACUGGUUUGGGAUGUGUCCUGAUGCAAGAGAACAGAGUGAUUGCUUAUGCUUCCCGGGCACUCAGGCCCCAUGAGCAGAACUACCCUACACAUGAUCUAGAGUUGGCAGCUGUAGUUCAUGCUCUAAAGAUAUGGAGACACUACUUGAUGGGAGCUCACUGUAACAUCUAUACUGAUCACAAGAGUCUCAAAUACAUCUUCACUCAGGCAGAUCUGAACAUGAGGCAAAGGAGAUGGUUAGAAUUGAUCAAGGACUAUGAUCUGGAGGUGCAUUACCACCCUGGUAAGGCCAAUGUUGUGGCAGAUGCCUUAAGCAGAAAGGCCCAGUGCUAUUGCAUGAGCAUGGAUGUGGGAGUUACCACCCUGUGUGAUGAGUUGUGCAGAUUAAACCUGGAAGUUGUUUCUUCAGGUGACCUAAGCUAUAUCUCGGUAGAACCCACGUUGCAGGAGCAAAUCAUAAGGGCUCAGGUUGAGGAUAAGGGUGUUCAGGUUAUCAAGGAUAUGAUCAAGCAAAAGGCAGAGAAAUACAAGUGUUUCCGGCAGGACAGCAAGGGAAUCCUAUGGUUUGGAGAUCGAUUGGUUGUUCCUAAGGACCCUGAGCUCAGAAAGAAGAUACUAGAUGAAGCUCACCUUUCCAAAUUCUCCAUGCACCCUGGUAGCACCAAGAUGUACCAUGACCUCAGAUCUUUGUAUUGGUGGACUAGAAUGAAAAGAGAAAUUGCCAAGUACAUAUCCGAGUGUGAUACUUGCCAGAGGAUAAAGGCUAGUCACUUGAAGGCAGCAGGCCCUUUGCAACCCCUUCCCAUACCAUCUUGGAAAUGGGAGGACAUUUGCAUGGACUUUAUAGUGGGAUUACCCAAUACCUCCAGGCACCAUGAUUCUAUUUGGGUUAUCGUGGACAGGUUGACCAAGACUGCUCAUUUCUUGCCAGUGCAUACCACCCACAGGGCAGAGAAGUACGCUGAAAUUUAUAUUGAUCAGAUAGUAAGGUUGCAUGGUAUUCCCAAGACCAUUGUAUCUGACAGAGGAGCACCUUUUGUGGCACGAUUUUGGGAGCAAUUGCAAGAGUCACUUGGGACCCAUGUCAUCCGAAGCUCAGCCUAUCACCCCCAAACCGAUGGCCAAACAGAAAGGGUGAAUCAGAUUUUGGAAGACAUGUUGCGAGCAUGUGCACUACAUUAUGGAAAAGAUUGGGACAAGUGUCUGUCUUUGGCAGAGUUCUCUUACAACAAUAGCUAUCAAUCCAGUCUGAAGAUGGCACCUUUUGAGGCAUUAUAUGGGAGAAGGUGUAGGACCCCACUGAAUUGGUCUCAAGUAGGAGAAAGGGAAAUUUUUGGGCCAGACUUAGUACUCGAAGCAGAGGCAAAGGUCAGGGUCAUUACCAAGAACUUGGAAGCUGCUCAGGCUAGGCAAAGGAGCUAUCACGAUAAGAGGCGGAAGCCUCUACAGUUUGAGGUGGGAGAUCAUGUAUAUCUUAAGAUAUCACCCACCAAGGGUGUUCAGAGAUUCGGGAUCAAGGGCAAGUUAGCUCCUCGCUAUAUUGGACCCUACGAGAUCAAGGAGGCUUGUGGACCCGUAGCCUAUCAAGUGGAAUUGCCACCUCACAUGUCGGCAGUUCAUAAUGUGUUCCAUGUAUCUCAGCUGCGGAAAUGCGUUCGUCUACCCACUGAAGUACUCCCGGAACCAGACAUUGAGAUAGAACCAGACUUGUCCUAUCAAGAGUACCCCGUCAAGGUGUUAGAUCAAAAGGAGAGAUCAACUCGGGCAAGUCGGUCAGAAUGUAUAAGGUUCAGUGGAGUCACCAUUCAGCAGAAGAAGCUACAUGGGAGACUGAGGAUUUUCUACGCUCUCGCUUCCCCGACUUUCUACCCAAAGGAGUCGGUAUGUAACCCCAGAAACCCCCCCCACCUGCCCUUUGAAUCCAAUUAUGAGAAAAACUUAGAUAACAAGGGUAGUCUAAGUUGCGGAUUUAACUUAAGAAGGGCUUCCUUCUGAAGUUGCAAAGAGAAUGACAUUCGAAGAGCAGUUAACAAGAGAAACUUAAGUGUAAAGGAAAAAGCAACACCAGCACACCUUCAAGCACCCUCCAAGGGACUCUACCUAAAUCUCGGGGCGAGAUUCCUUUAAGGGGGGAGGGCUGUAACACCCCAGGUGUUACUCAGGGUGUCCACCCUAGGGUUACCCCCUUUUACCCAUUAUCACAUGAAGAUUGACUUGGGCAAAGUAUACCACACUUGGAAUUCUAGGUCCUAAGCAGGUGUAAUCCACUUUGGAUGUCAUGCCCUAGCUUAUCAUGCACAUCUAAGUGGGGAUCUCCCAAAACCCUAGAACAAAACCCCCAUAGGCAAUUAUAACCCUAAUUGAAGCCAUGAUCAAAAGAGCAUGUAAACAUCAUGAUCAUGGCUUGGACCAAAUAUAAAAGUUGUAAUACACUCAAUAACCUACCAUUAAUAGUAAGGAAGUACCCCCAAAAAGUUUUCAGAAAAGUCCUAAAAAGAUCACCAAAGGUUGAACACAAGGGAAAAAUGCAGAUUUUGCCUAAGUUAAAACCCAACCCUUGAGCAAAGAUCCCUCAUGUUCACCUUGAUCCCCUUUUCAAAACCAGUCGACCCAAUUAGCAAAGUGGCGCCAAGUGAACCCUAGAAUGCCCUGGAAAAGUUUGAACCCAAGCCAAAACCAUUUGACACGAGUUGGCACUGGUUUUGUCUCGGUUUGCACAGGGCAGACAGACAAGACUUGGCGCUACCGUAUCUCUUCAACCAGACCACAUCUACCCUUGGAACUUACAUGAACUAGGUAGCCCUAGGUGCAGGGAAGAAAUCUCCCACAGGCGGUAGGGCAAGAUUCGUACGCCUGGCCGCUCAGCAGAGCGAAGAACACGGGCAGAAGCAACGCGCCACGUGUUCGACGCGCUCUGAGCUCGCCAGAGCACGCCCGCGCGCGCGCCCCGCGUGCCCGCGUCGCGCCAAACGGUGGAGUCGGCGCCCCGUCCGCGUCCGCGCCUAUAAAACCUGCCCCAGCGCUCGGUUGCCUUCCCCGUUACCUCCUCCGUACUUCGCCGGACUCGCCCGAGCCAGCCAUUGCCUCCGGCGACCUCCCCGCGACCCGCCAGUGCCGACCAAGAGCCACCGCCGUGGCCAACCCCUCUCCAGCCCCCCUCCGUUCGAUUCAAGCCCCAGAUAGCUUCCUGGUGAGACCGUGAGCUUGGCUCAAGCUUGAACCGAGAGCCCGCGUCACCGGAGAAGCCGAAUCGCGCUCACCGGAGUUCAAGCACUCGCCGGCGCACGUGGACCGGGUAAACCCCUUCACCAUUUCUCGAUUCGUUGCGCGCACGGCCUCUGUGUCACCCCGUGAAGCGCCUCGUGCACCCUAAUUGACCUACGCCGCCGUGGUUUGGCCGGAGCAGGCGUCGCCGUCGAUCCCCGCCGCCUGUGUUCGUGGCCAGGGGAGCUCCGACCACCUCUGACGCCGACCCGCACAUCGACGUGACCGUCGCGACCUCCUGAACAUCACCGACCACCUCGCCAGACCUCCCUCGCCGCCGGUAAGCCGCGCCACCCUUUCCUUUCCUGCGGCUACUGUUUCAGUUAGGGGAGGGACUACGGGUGUGAGGGAGAGAAAUCCAGGGGGUUAAGUGAAAAGUCAGAGACCCAAGUGAAUAGUAGCGUAAGGGUAGAUCUGCGAGGUUUGAUUCAGUUUAAACCCAGGGACCUCGGCGCAAACUGUUUUUCCAGAAAAACUUAAUUAAAACCUGAUUUAAAUUCAAACAGAAACUUUAAAAACCUAUAACUUCUGUUUGGUUUACCCAAAUUUGGUCAAACUAAUUUUGCCAGACUCUAAAUAAUGUAACCUGUCUAAGAAAAAUAUAAAACCACAUAAGUACUAUAGAAAAAUGUAAGGUCCUGAUUUAAUUACAGUUUGAACCAAAAGCUUAAUAAUAGCAAGAAAAAUGGUUGUAUUAUUUAACUAAGGUUAGAAAAAUUUAGAGAAGUUAUUAUCUACCUACUGACCUAGUUAAAAAUGUUAAACACCUCUGUCCACUACAUUAGGAUAUAUUUUACCCCUUAUCCCAUAAUGUGUUUAAGAUUAAGAAAAAUAGGAAAGGUGACAUAAAUAAGGAACCAGAGGGCACCCCUAUUUUUGUUGAGAUACUUAUUCAAUAUAGUUCACUGGAAAAAUAUAUCAUACCCUGGUUUAGUACAGAUUAAGUAGGAUAUCUUUUAUUUUAUUAAAACAAGGAUAACUUAGAAAAACCCUACAAAAAUGACCCCAAGGUAAAAACACCCCCACCCUUGGGAUAACUAUUGAUUUAUCAGAAAGAACUUAGGAAAAAUAAGAAAUCUGCUGUUUGACAUUUUUCAAAUAAUAAUGUAGUAGAAAGUGCCUUUUUGACAUUAAACUUGAGAAAAUCAUAGCUAAUUAACCACCCCUUAGUUUCCUGUGAUUUUUAGCACAAAGACCUAUUAUUACCAGGGGAUGCCAACAAAAAUAACCUUUAGGACAGAGCCUACCCCUAACUAGGAGGUGUAGUGUAAAGUGCCCCUUUUUGCCUAACUUUUGUUAUUUUUGUUUAAGGCCUAACUUUUAUACCUUAAGCCUCAAAUUCUUAAAACAAGCUAAAAUAGCCAGUGACAACCCACUGUAAUUUUUACAGAAUUUUUGGAAAUUAUUAAAACCCUGUUGUAGUUCAAACCUACCCUAGAAAACCUAAAUGGAAAUUAAGGGAAGAGAAAUAAAAGAUAUGAAUAAAGGUUGUCCCUAAAAACUUUAUUUGCUGUCCACAAAAAUAUAUCAAAGCAAUACCAAACCAAUAUGUUGUCCUAAAUGAAAACCUAAGUCCAAAGAGUAAUAAGUCUAUCUAUGUACCACUAGAAGCCCCGCAUAACUAAGAAAACCCUAAGUUACUUCUUGACUUAGUCUCUUUUUGCAUAAUGUUAUUAAAUCAUGCAUAAUCAUGACAUACAUGUUCAUUGCAUUCGCUAGACUGUAAUCUUGCUGACGGAGAGUACAUCCUCGUGCCGGAGCAAGGAGCUGCUCAGGAGGUAGCCCCAGAUCCAGCACCAGAGCCAGCACCAGAGGACCUGCCUGCCACUGCUUUGGAAGGCAAGCCCCGGUUUUAUGCAUAACCUGUUAUUAUACUAUUUUACUUCACUUAAUGCUUGUAGGAUUGAUUGUGCACUUAAGUGUAGGAAUUGUUUGAAACCCUAGUUGCAUGAUCUCAGGAAUCCCAUUGAGAUGAAUACUAGUAUGAUAGGUCGAGUAGUUGCUUUAUUUAAAUAGGAUCUCGGUAGAAGACGAGUGAUUUUUCUAGCACUCGCGCGAGAUCAGGGAAUUGAUUGUACCCACUUUCACAUUAUCAUGAUACUGGUUGAUGGACAACAAUCCAUGGGGAUUGGUUGUCUAUGAGAUGAAAUUUGAAUAAGGAUUAAGGUGUGGUACCGUGUGUCAAGCGUUUGAACGUACUAAACACAUACCGAGAAAUAUGGUAAAUCGGUAAGCCUAGUACCUGAUUGAACCUGGCAGUAGACUUUGCCCCUCACGCGACCUGAGACGAGGUCUCCCAUUCCGGUUAUGGUGGGUACAAGUGCGGUCACUGCACGACGGCCAGUCGGGGUCAGUGAGGCAUUGUACGCCAAGGCGGUGAGCCUUUUCUGCUGACGGGGAAUCGAUGGGGACGGUUGAUGUGUGUGGGGACGGAGUGCCCCUGCAUGUCGUGUGUUUAGGUUUACCUUGCAAGGAUAAAAACUCGAUUCGAAUCGUCUGCUUCUCGCAGUUAAUGAGACUGCUUGAUCCAUGAUGCUACAUUGAGUAAUAAGUGGAAGUAUGAUGAGUUGAGAUAAGAUGUUGAUUGUUAAUAAUGCUUGCUACCAUGUAUGAGUAGAUAGUUCACUUUUAGCCUUAAGAGAGUCACACUUAACUUUGACUAAGUUAAAAUCUUGAUUUAGAAACUCAGCUAGUGCUUUUGGCAACCAAACCCCACAGCCAAACAGCUGCAUGUCUAGAGGUAGAGGAGUAGACUCCUCACACCGGGUAAGUCUAGCUGAGUAUUAGUAUACUCAGCCUUGCUUGUGGCAUAAUUUUUACAGGUUCUCUGGAGGAGAUGGUUGCGGGGAUAACUUGGCCGACCACCCUGCCACCGGGUUGGACUGUCGAGUGGGACCCUGCCUCGGCUGAGGAGGAGCAUGAGGAGUGAUGGGACAUGCUUCCCCAUCUCUCUGUUUUAUUUACCGUUAGUUCUAUUCCGCUGCACUUCGAACAAUGAGGGAUACUUUUGCAGAAACUCCGAUGAUGAUGAUGGUGAUGUAAUAAUUCAACAUUAUGACAUGUAUGGUUUUAUGCUUUAUUGUAUUUGCUCUGUGACUCGCCUUCGAGUGAGAUUGUGGUACUUGAUCCUGUCAGUGGCCGUGUCGGACUAGAUCCGAGGGAUUGACGGGUUAUUCCCAUUUAAGUGUGGUCUAGCCUCUAAGGCGGGACUUGGACACUUAAGUUGGAAUAAUUCGGGCAGUUCCGCCACACUGCGCCGCUCCGACUGCGGUGCCACUUGACAGAGUGAGGCUGACAGGCAGUCAGGCCCGGCUGCAGGCACCAUAGGAAGCUCCGCUCCGCCCGACCCAGUACUCGGACUCGGGCUAAGUCCCAGAAGACGGCGAACUUGAGAGCACCUAGAGGGGGGGUGAAUAGGUGAUCCUGUAAAACUUUAAACUUAUAGCCACAAAAACUUGGUUAAUCGUUAGCACAAUAAUUGCCAAGUGGCUAGAGAGGAGCCAAAACACAAUAACCACAAGAAAUCAAUCACAGAGAUGACACGGUGGUUAUCCCGUGGUUCGGCCAAGUACAAAACUUGCCUACUCCACGUUGUGGCGUCCCAACGGACGAGAGUUGCACUCAACUCCUCUCAAGUGAUCCAAUGAUCAACUUGAAUACCACGGUGUUCUUCUUUACUUUGAUCUUUUCCCGUUUGCGAGGAAUCUCCACAACUUGGAGUCUCUCGCCCUUACAAUUGAAUUUCACAAAGAAGUACGGAGUAAGGGAGGGAAGCAACACACACAAAUCCACAGCAAAAUGCGCACACACACGGCCAAGAAUCGAGCUCAAAAGACUAUCUCAAAGUUCUCACUAGAACGGAGCUCGAAUCACUGAGAAUGACAAACGAAUGCGCAAAGACUGAGUGUGGAUGAUCAAGAAUGCUCUUAGGUUGCUUGGUUAUCUCCUCCAUGCGCCUAGGGGUCCCUUUUAUAGCCCCAAGGCAGCUAGGAGCCGUUGAGAGCAAUCAGGGAAGGCAAAUCUUGCCUUCUGUCGCGUGGCGCACCGGACAGUCCGGUGCACACCGGACACUGUCCGGUGCCCGAUUCCCUUCCUUAAUUGGCGAAGCCGACCGUUGGCUGGCUCGGAGCCGUUGGCGCACCGGACAUGUCCGGUGCACACCGGACAGUCCGGUGCCCCCUUCUAGCCGUUGGCUCGGCCACGUGUCCCGCGCAGAUUGCGCGGCCGACCGUUGGCCCGGCCGACCGUUGGCUCACCGGACAGUCCGGUGAAUUUUAGCCGUACGCCGUCGGCAAAUUCCCGAGAGCGGGCACUUCACGCCGAGUCAGCCUGGCGCACCGGACACUGUCCGGUGCACCAUCGGACAGUCCGGUGUGCCAGACUGAGCUGAGUCUUGGCUGUACACAGCCAAGUCUUUUUCACCUCUUUUCUUUUCUUCUUCUUUCUGUUUCUAACACUUAGACAAGUAUAUUAGUACACAAAACCAAUGUACUAAGGCUUAGAAACAUACCUUUACUCUUGAUUUGCACUUUGUCCAUGCAUGAGCAUAAAUUCACAUUUAAGCACUUGUGUUGGCACUCAAUCACCAAAAUACUUAGAAAUGGCUUAAGAGCACAUUUCCCUUUCAAUCUCCCCCUUUUUGGUGAUUUAUGCCAACACAACAUAAAGCGACUAGAACAAGUGCAAUAUCACUUCAAAUAAAACUCAAAUUUAUUUUGAUUCAAUUUUUGGUAUAUAUGGAUCAUCCUUUGCCACCACUUGGUUUGUUUUUGCAAAUCAGACUCAAAUCUCUAUCUCUAAGUCAAACACACAUGUUGAAGCAUAAAGAGAGUCAUUCCAAAAGAGAUUGAUCAAAGAUUUCAAAAACUCCCCCUAUUUCCCAUAAUCAACACUUCUCCCCACAAGAGGCCAACUUUUGACAAAAGAGACAAUGCAAGAGUUUUGACAAAACAAAAAGCUCUAUUUUACUAUUUUUCAAAAUUUCUCAAGUGGUAGCUGAUCCAUUUAUUGCUUUGGCCUUUAUUUUCUCCCCCUUUGGCAUGAAGCACCAAAACGGGAUCAAUCUUGGCCCUUGAACCCCAUUGCCUCACCAAAAUCUUCAAUUAAGAGCAAAUGGCAAUAGGAGUUCAUGAGAUGAACUUGGAAUAAGUUACCCUCUCAUUGAAGUCCAGUGGAAGUCUUUCAUGGUCCAAGUCCACCUUUUCCCUUUCAAUUCUCCUUCGAGACUAAAACAAGCAAACUCAAGCAUAUGGUUAGUCUCAAAGGGUCAAGUUGUAACACAACUCCCCCUAAAUAUGUGCAUCACUUACACAAGGACUUGUGAGGUCCAGGGAAUGUUUGUACAACUUGAGCACCACAAUAAGCAACAAAAUGCAGAAUGAACAUGAUCAAAGACAUAAACACAUGUAUGCUACAAUUCAAUCCAAGUUCCGCGAAUCUAAGACAUUUAGCUCACUACGCAGCCUGCAAAAGGUCUUCUCAUCUAGAGGCUUGGUAAAGAUAUCAGCUAGCUGGUUCUCGGUGCUAACAUGAAACACUUCGAUAUCACCCUUUUGCUGGUGGUCUCUUAGAAAGUGAUGCCGGAUGUCAAUGUGCUUUGUGCGGCUGUGUUCAACAGGAUUUUCCGCCAUACGGAUUGCACUCUCAUUAUCACAUAGGAGUGGGACUUUGCUCAGAUUGUAGCCAAAGUCCCUGAGGGUUUGCCUCAUCCAAAGUAGUUGCGCGCAACACUGUCCUGCGGCAACAUACUCGGCCUCAGCGGUGGAUAGGGCAACGGAAGUUUGUUUCUUAGAGUUCCAUGACACCAGGGACCUUCCUAAGAAUUGGCACGUCCCCGAUGUACUCUUCCUAUCGACCUUACAUCCAGCAUAGUCGGAGUCUGAAUAUCCAAUCAAGUCAAAGGUAGACCCCUUUGGAUACCAGAGCCCGAAGCAAGGCGUAGCAACUAAAUAUCUAAGGAUUCGCUUCACUGCCACUAAGUGACACUCCUUAGGAUCGGAUUGAAAUCUAGCACACAUGCAUACGCUAAGCAUAAUAUCCGGUCUACUAGCACAUAAAUAAAGUAAAGACCCUAUCAUUGACCGGUAUGCUUUUUGAUCAACGGACUUACCUCCUUUGUUGAGGUCGGUGUGUCCGUCGGUCCCCAUCGGAGUCUUUGCGGGCUUGGCGUCCUUCAUCCCAAACGGCUUCAGCAAGUCUUGCGUGUACUUUGUUUGGGAGAUGAAGGUGCCGUCCUUGAGUUGCUUCACUUGGAACCCAAGGAAGUAGUUCAACUCGCCCAUCAUCGACAUCUCGAAUUUCUGCGUCAUCACCCUGCUAAACUCUUCACAAGACUUUUUAUUAGUAGAACCAAAUAUUAUGUCAUCGACAUAAAUUUGGCACACAAAAAGAUCACCGUCACAAGUCUUAGUGAAAAGGGUUGGAUCGGCUUUCCCAACUUUGAAAGCAUUAGCAAUUAAGAAGUCUCUAAGGCAUUCAUACCAUGCUCUUGGGGCUUGCUUAAGUCCAUAGAGCGCCUUAGAGAGCUUACACACAUGAUCGGGGUACCGUUCAUCCUCGAAGCCAGGGGGUUGCUCCACGUACACCUCCUCCUUUAUUGGCCCAUUGAGGAAAGCGCUCUUCACAUCCAUUUGGUACAACCUGAAAGAAUGGUGAGCGGCAUAUGCUAGCAAGAUACGAAUUGAUUCUAGCCUAGCCACAGGAGCAAACGUCUCCUCAAAGUCCAAACCUGCGACUUGGGCAUAACCUUUUGCCACAAGUCGAGCCUUGUUCCUCGUCACCACCCCGUGCUCGUCCUGUUUGUUGCGGAACACCCACUUGGUUCCCACAACAUUUUGCUUGGGACGAGGCACCAGUGUCCAAACUUCAUUGCGCUUGAAGUUGUUGAGCUCCUCCUGCAUGGCCAACACCCAAUCCGGAUCUAGCAAGGCCUCUUCUACCCUGAAAGGCUCAAUAGAAGAGACAAAGGAGUAAUGUUCACAAAAAUUAACUAAUCGAGACCGAGUAGUUACUCCCUUGCUAAUAUCACCCAGAAUUAGGUCGACGGGAUGAUCCCUUUGAAUCACCGCUCGAACUUGGGUUGGAGGUGCCGGUUGUGCUUCUUCCUCCAUCACGUGAUCAUCUUGUGUUCCCCCUUGAUCACACGCCUCCUUUUGAUGAACCUGUUCAUCGUCUUGAGUUGAGGGAUGCACCGUUGUUGAGGAAGAAGGUUGAUCUUGUUCAUCUUGUUCAUGUGGCCGCACUUCUCCAAUCGCCAUGGUUCGUAUAGCGGCCGUCGGAACAUCUUCUUCAUCUACAUCAUCACAAUCAACAACUUGCUCUCUUGGAGAGCCAUUAGUCUCAUCAAAUACAACGUCGCUAGAGACUUCAACCAAACCCGAUGAUUUGUUGAAGACUCUAUACGCCUUUGUAUUUGAGUCAUAACCUAACAAAAACCCUUCUACAGCUUUGGGAGCAAAUUUAGAAUUUCUACCCUUCUUCACUAGAAUGUAGCACCUGCUCCCAAAUACACGAAAGUAAGAUACAUUGGGUUUGUUACCGGUUAGUAGCUCAUACGAAGUCUUCUUGAGGAGGCGAUGAAGGUAGACCCUGUUGAUGGCGUGGCAAGCCGUGUUCACGGCUUCCGACCAAAAACGCUCGGGGGUCUUGAAUUCUCCAAGCAUCGUCCUCGCCAUAUCGAUUAGCGUCCUGUUCUUCCUCUCUACCACACCAUUUUGCUGUGGUGUGUAGGGAGCGGAGAACUCGUGCUUGAUCCCUUCCUCCUCAAGGUAUUCCUCCACUUGAAGGUUCUUGAACUCGGACCCGUUGUCGCUCCUUAUCUUCUUCACUUUGAGCUCAAACUCAUUUUGAGCUCUCCUGAGGAAGCGCUUGAGGGUCCCUUGGGUUUCAGACUUAUCCUGCAAAAAGAACACCCAAGUGAAGCGGGAAAAGUCAUCAACAAUAACUAAACCAUACUUACUUCCUCCUAUGCUCAGAUAGGCGACGGGUCCGAAGAGGUCCAUAUGUAGCAGCUCCAGAGGUCUUGAGGUGGUCAUCACAUUCUUGCUGUGAUGUGCUCCUCCCACUUGUUUACCUGCUUGACAAGCUGCACAAGGUCUAUCUUUUUCGAAUUGCACGUUAGUCAAACCUAUCACGUGUUCUCCCUUUAGAAGCUUGUGAAGGUUCUUCAUCCCCACAUGUGCUAAGCGGCGAUGCCACAGCCAGCCCAUGCUAGUCUUAUCUAUUAAGCAUGCAUCUAGACCGGCCUCUUCUUUUGCAAAAUCAACUAAAUAAAGUUUGCCGUCUAAUACACCCUUAAAGGCUAGUGAACCAUCAUUUCUUCUAAAGACAGCCACAUCUACAUUUGUAAAUAGACAGUUAUAUCCCAUAUUGCAUAAUUGACUAACCGAUAGCAAAUUAUAUCCAAGAGACUCUACUAAAAACACAUUAGAGAUAGAGUGCUCAUUAGAAAUUGCAAUUUUACCUAACCCUUUUACCUUGCCUUGAUUCCCAUCACCGAAUAUAAUUGAAUCUUGGGAAUCCUUACUCUUGACGUAGGAGGUGAACAUCUUCUUCUCCCCCGUCAUAUGGUUUGUGCAUCCGCUGUCGAUAAUCCAGCUUGAACCCCCGGAUGCAUAAACCUGCAAGGCAAAUUUAGGCUUGGGUCUUAGGUACCCAACUCAUGUUGGGUCCUACAAGGUUAGUGCAAAUAUCCUUAGGGACCCAAAUGCAAGUUUUGUCUCCCUUGCAUUUUGCCCCUAACUUCCUAGCAACUAUUUUCCUAUUCUUUCUACAAAUAGCAAAGGAAGCAUUUAAAGCAUAAUAAACUGCAGAAGGUUCAUUCACUACUUUCCUAGGAAUAUUAACAACAUUUCUCCUAGGCAUAUUAUGAACAGCAUUUCUCCUACCAACAUUUCUAUCAUGCACAUAAGAAGAACUAGAAGCAACCAUGUUAUGAGAAUCAAAAGCAUCAUAUGCGUUACAUCUCCUAUAAGCAUUUCUAGAUUGUCUCCUAUCAUGGUACAUAAAGGCAUGGUUCUUUUGCACACUACUAGCCAUAGGGGCCUUCCCUUUCUCCUUGGCGGAGAUGGGAGCCUUAUGGCUUGUCAAGUUCUUGGCUUCCUUCUUGUAGCCAAGUCCAUCCUUAAUUGAGGGGUGUCUACCAAUUGUGUAGGCAUCCCUUGCAAAUUUUAGCUUAUCAAAAUUACUCUUGCUAGUCUUAAGUUGAGCAUUAAGACUAGCCAAUUCAUCAUUAAGUUUGGAAAUUGAAACUAGGUGUUCACUACAAGCAUCAAUGUCAAAAUCUUUACACCUCUUGCAAGUUUCAACAAUUUCUACACAAGAUGUUGAUUUAUUAGCUAUUUCUAACUUAGCAUUCAAAUCAUCAUUAACACUUUUUAAUUUAGAGAUGGACUCAUGACAAGUAGAUAAUUCACUAGAGAGCAUUUCAUUCCUUUUAAUUUCUAGAGCAAGAGAAUUUUGUGCACUAACAAAUUUAUCAUGCUCCUCAUAUAAAAGAUCCUCUUGUUUUUCUAGUAAUCUAUUCUUGUCAUUCAAAGCAUCAAUCAACUCAUUAAUCUUAUUAAUUUUAGAUCUAUCUAAUCCCUUGAAUAAGCAUGAGUAAUCUAUCUCAUCAUCAUCACUAGACUCAUCCUCACUUGAAGAAGCAUAAGUACUAGUAUCAUGAGUGCUUACUUUCUUCUCCCUUGCCAUGAGGCAAGUGUGACGCUCGUUGGGGAAGAGGGAUGACUUGUUGAAGGCGGUGGCGGCGAGUCCUUCAUUGUCGGAGUCGGAGGAGGAGCAAUCCGAAUCCCACUCCUUUCCGAUAUGUGCCUCGCCCUUGGCCUUCUUGUAAUGCUUCUUCUUCUCCCUUUUGUUCCCCUUUUCCUGGUCACUUUCAUUAUCGGGACAGUUAGCAAUGAAAUGACCAAUCUUACCACAUUUGAAGCACGAGCGCUUCUCCUUUGUUUUGAUCUUGCUUGGCUGUCCCUUGUGACCUUUAAGCGCCGUCUUGAAGCGCUUGAUGAUGAGAGCCAUUUCUUCAUCAUUAAGCCCGGCCGCUUCAAUUUGAGCCACCUUGCUCGGUAGUGUCUCCUUGCUUCUCGUUGCCUUGAGAGCAAUGGGUUGAGGCUCGUGGAUUGGACCGUUCAACGCGUCAUCGACGUAUCUCGCCUCCUUGAUCAUCAUCCGCCCGCUUAUGAAUUUUCCGAGUACCUCCUCGGGCGUCAUCGUCGUGUACUUGGGAUUCUCACGAAUAUUGUUUACGAGAUGAGGAUCAAGAACGGUAAAGGACCUUAGCAUUAGGCGGACGACGUCGUGGUCCGUCCAUCGCGUGCUUCCAUAGCUCCUUAUCUUGUUGACAAGGGUCUUGAGCCGGUUGUAUGUUUGGGUUGGCUCCUCCCCCCUUAUCAUAGCGAAUCUCCCAAGUUCGCCCUCCACCAACUCCAUCUUGGUGAGCAUGGUGACGUCGUUGCCCUCGUGAGAGAUCUUGAGGGUGUCCCAUAUCUGCUUGGCAUUGUCCAAGCCGCUCACCUUAUUGUACUCUUCCCUGCACAAAGAUGCUAAGAGAACAGUAGUAGCUUGUGCAUUUCUAUGGAUUUGUUCAUUUAUAAGCAUAGGGCUAUCUGAGCUAUCAAAUUUCAUUCCAUUCUCUACAAUCUCCCAUAUGCUUGGAUGGAGAGAGAAUAAGUGACUACGCAUUUUGUGACUCCAAAAUCCGUAGUCCUCCCCAUCGAAGUGUGGAGGUUUGCCAAGAGGAAUUGAAAGCAAAUGCGAAUUCGAACUAUGUGGAAUACGGGAAUAAUCAAAUGAAAAGUUCGAAUUGACCGUCUUCCUGUAGUCGUUGUCGUCGUCCUUUUGGGAAGAGGAAGAUUCGUCGCUGUCGUAGUAGACGAUCUCCUUGAUGCGCCUUGUCUUCUUCUUCUUCCCAUCUUUUCGUCUGUGGCCCGAGCCCGAGUCGUUGGACUUGUCAUCCUUUGGCUCGUUGAUGAAGGACUCCUUCUCCUUGUCGUUGAUCAUGAUUCCCUUCCCCUUAGGAUCCAUCUCUUCGGGUGGUUAGUCCCUUUCUUGAAGAGAAUGUGCUCUGAUACCAAUUGAGAGCACCUAGAGGGGGGGGGGGGUGAAUAGGUGAUCCUGUAAAACUUUAAACUUAUAGCCACAAAAACUUGGUUAAUCGUUAGCACAAUAAUUGCCAAGUGGCUAGAGAGGAGCCAAAACACAAUAACCACAAGAAAUCAAUCACAGAGAUGACAUGGUGGUUAUCCCGUGGUUCGGCCAAGUACAAAACUUGCCUACUCCACGUUGUGGCGUCCCAACGGACGAGAGUUGCACUCAACUCCUCUCAAGUGAUCCAAUGAUCAACUUGAAUACCACGGUGUUCUUCUUUACUUUGAUCUUUUCCCGUUUGCGAGGAAUCUCCACAACUUGGAGUCUCUCGCCCUUACAAUUGAAUUUCACAAAGAAGUACGGAGUAAGGGAGGGAAGCAACACACACAAAUCCACAGCAAAAUGCGCACACACACGGCCAAGAAUUGAGCUCAAAAGACUAUCUCAAAGUUCUCACUAGAACGGAGCUCGAAUCACUGAGAAUGACAAACGAAUGCGCAAAGACUGAGUGUGGAUGAUCAAGAAUGCUCUUAGGUUGCUUGGUUAUCUCCUCCAUGCGCCUAGGGGUCCCUUUUAUAGCCCCAAGGCAGCUAGGAGCCGUUGAGAGCAAUCAGGGAAGGCAAAUCUUGCCUUCUGUCGCGUGGCGCACCGGACAGUCCGGUGCACACCGGACACUGUCCGGUGCCCGAUUCCCUUCCUUAAUUGGCGAAGCCCACCGUUGGCUGGCUCGGAGCCGUUGGCGCACCGGACAUGUCCGGUGCACACCGGACAGUCCGGUGCCCCCUUCUAGCCGUUGGCUCGGCCACGUGUCCCGCGCAGAUUGCGCGACCGACCGUUGGCCCGGCCGACCGUUGGCUCACUGGACAGUCCGGUGCACACCGGACAGUCCGGUGAAUUUUAGCCGUACGCCGUCGGCAAAUUCCCGAGAGCGGGCACUUCACGCCGAGUCAGCCUGGCGCACCGGACACUGUCCGGUGCACCACCGGACAGUCCGGUGUGCCAGACUGAGCUGAGUCUUGGCUGUACACAGCCAAGUCUUUUUCACCUCUUUUCUUUUCUUCUUCUUUCUGUUUCUAACACUUAGACAAGUAUAUUAGUACACAAAACCAAUGUACUAAGGCUUAGAAACAUACCUUUACUCUUGAUUUGCACUUUGUCCAUGCAUGAGCAUAAAUUCACAUUUAAGCACUUGUGUUGGCACUCAAUCACCAAAAUACUUAGAAAUGGCUUAAGAGCACAUUUCCCUUUCAGAACUCCGCUCCGCCCAACCCAGGGCUCGGACUCGGGCUAAGCCCCGGAAGACGGCGAACUCCGCUCCGCCCGACCCAGGGCUCGGACUCGGGCUAAGCCCCGGAAGACGACGAACUCCGCUCCGCCCAACCCAGGGCUCGGACUCGGGCUAAGCCCCAGAAGACGGCGAACUCCGCUCCGCCCGACCCAGGGCUCGGACUCGGGCUAAGUCCCGGAAGACGACGAACUCCGCUCCGCCCGACCCCCGGGGCUCGGACUCCGCCCCGGCCUCAGCCGUCGGUCACCGCCUCGCCCGACCCAGGGGCUCGGACUCGACCUCGGCCAUGGAAGACAGACUCGACCUUGGCUUCGGAGGAGCUUACACAUCACCCAAUCUAGGGCGCAGACCAGCCACGUCAACAGGAGGCGCCAUCAUCACCCUACCCCGAGCUGACUCGGGCCACGGGAACAAGACCGGCGUCCCAUCUGGCUCGCUCCGCCAGAUAGGCAAUGAUGGCGCCCCGCAUACUCUGUGAUGACGGCAGCUCUUAGCGCCCUUACGGAAGCAAGAGGACAUCAGCAAAGACUCAACAGCUCCGACAGCUGUCCCUCCGCUAGGCUCCGGCACUCCUCCGACGGCCACGACAUCACACCAGCUGGGUGCCAAAAUCUCUCCGGCUGCCACAAUGGCAUGCACUUAGGGCGCUAGCUCUCCUCCGCUAGACACGUAGCACUCUGCUACACCCCCAUUGUACACCUGGAUCCUCUCCUUACGCCUAUAAAAGGAAGGACCAGGGCCCUCUUAGAGAAGGUUGGCCGCGCGGGGACGAGGAUGAGACAGGCGCUCGCUUGAAGCCGCUCUCUCCCUCUCCCGCGUGGACGCUUGUAACCCCCUACUGCAAGCGCACCCGACCUGGGCGCGGGACGAACACGAAGGCCGCGGGAUUCCCACCUCUCUCACGUCGGUCUCCGGCCACCUCACUUCCCCCUUCGCGCUCGGCCUCGCGUCGACCCAUCUGGGCUAGGGCACGCGGCGACAUUCACUCGUCGGCUAGGGACCCCCCGGUCUCGAUACGCCGACAACAGGUGUCAGUUUCAGGAACACAUACAGCUCCAAUAGAAAUGCUAGAAGAACACUGAAGCAAAUCAAAUGGCAGGAAAAUCUGAAAACCUGUUUCUGGUCAUCUAAUCUUCCCUCAUUUUGAUUUUUCUCUUCUAGUUUAGCUGUUCCACGAUCAUCUUUUGAUUUUUUCCCUUUUUUUACAGAAUAUGGCAGGUCAUCCACUGAAGUCGUCUCAGACUUCGAGAUCAUGUGUUCUUUAUCAGCCUCUUGUGAAUCAUCACCUGGCUCAGCUGGAUCCUCAUCGCUCUCCUCAGAUUCGCUACCCAUUCCCUCCUCGGUUUCAGUAUCAUCAUCAUACUCCAUCUCAUCUUUCUCUUGCCGUUUCAUCUUUUCUGCAUCAGUUCCCAAGUCAACAUCAUUAUCAUUUUGAUCAUCAUCAUCACUUGUACCAGUGUCUCCUCCAUCAGCAUGUCUACUUUGAGAUUCUUCAUCACCAUUUAAUAAUGAGCCCUCUGUAUCUUCUAUCUUAACAACACGGAUUUCAUUUAUUUUGUAUAGCAGAUCUAGAUGCUUUUCAAUUGCAUGUUCCAUUGCCUCAACAAAAACUGUUCUCAAGAUUGCCUGACACUCAUCUACAGUAAGACCUGACUCAAGCUGGUCUUGUGGAUAGAGUUUCAUCUGUAACUUGUACAGGGUUGAAACACACCCAUUAGAGUUGUAAAAAGGAACUGUGCAGACUUCAAUUUUCUCCACUAUAUCAGCCACACGAACCCUCCUA